Molecule: ribosomal RNA, 774 nt
Filed under: uncultured Neocallimastigales
Lineage: Eukaryota; Fungi; Neocallimastigomycota; Neocallimastigomycetes; Neocallimastigales
Description: partial large subunit ribosomal RNA
Rfam family: Eukaryotic large subunit ribosomal RNA
Source: RNAcentral
AGAGAGAGACAUGCGUGCAUAUCAAUAAGCGGAGGAAAAGAAACUAACAAGGAUUCCCCUAGUAACGGCGAGUGAAGCGGGAAGAGCUCAAAUUUGAAAUCUUAAAGGGUUUCCCUUUACGAAUUGUAGUUUAAAGAAGAGUUUUCUGUUGAGGUUUUGGUAAAAGUUCUUUGGAAUAGGACAUCAUAGAGGGUGAGAAUCCCGUAUUUGACCUUUACUUUCAACUUUGUGAUACACUUUCAAAGAGUCGGAUUGUUUGGGAAUGCAGUCCAAAAUGGGUGGUAAAUUUCAUCUAAAGCUAAAUAUUGGCGAGAGACCGAUAGCGAACAAGUACCGUGAGGGAAAGAUGAAAAGAACUUUGAAAAGAGAGUUAAACAGUACGUGAAAUUGUCAAAAGGGAGGCGUUUGACACCAGUGUUGUUUUUCUGAAAAUCAAUUAAAGAACUGUUUAUGCUAAGUUGUUUAGACUUUAUCAGCUAACUGUUUAGUUUUGAGCUUUUCUUUAAUGCACUUUUCAGUUAACAAGUCAACAUCAAUUUCUUUUGCUGUAAAAAAGCUUGAGGAAGGUGGCUUGAGAUUCGUCUUAAGUGUUUAUAGCCUCUUGCCUAUGCAGUCGGAGAGAUUGAGGUCUGCAGCGUAGAUCCUUCGGGGCUAAAUGCAUUUGUGCUAAGUUAUAGCAUUUUAUAGACAACUUGUUGACUAUGAUUUGUCUUGUAGCUUACUCGCUUAUGUUAUUUUACCUACGCUUAGGAUGUUGACGCAUGAGAUAUACGC